Molecule: long non-coding RNA, 367 nt
Organism: Perca fluviatilis (European perch)
Lineage: Eukaryota; Metazoa; Chordata; Actinopteri; Perciformes; Percidae
Exons: 3
Source: RefSeq, a predicted model, not a curated record
AGCUGCCAGACAACCCUCCGAACCAGUGCAUGAACAAAUUGGGCUCAUCCUUCAGCUCCUCCCUCCCUUCACAUGCUGUCUAUAGAUAUAAAAGGGCACAAGCCCUGAAUCCCCCAUGCACAAACAAUGACUGACUGACUGCUCUGUAGUCUGGCCUAAAGGACGGAGAUGGCCCACCAAAUGAACGCUUCACCUUCCAACGUUUCUGAGCAAAAUGGUUGUUACAGAUGUUACAUGGUACAGAUGGAAGACAAACGCUUGGAGUGUUUAUGGAAAGAGAAGAAGGAGGAUAUGAUCUACAAGUCAUGGAGUUCCCCUGGUUGGGGUGUACAAAGUGAAAAAGCCCAAAGUCCACCCCAAAGGGCCU